CCUGGGGACACCUGGGGACAUUUGGGGCCAUUUGGGGCCAUUUUGGGGACAUUUGGGGACAUCUGGGGACAUUUGGGGCCAUUUUGGGGCCAUUUGGGGACAUUUUGGGGCCAUUUGGGGACAUUUUGGGGACAUUUGGAGUCAUUUUGGGACAUUUGGAGUCAUUUUGGGCCAUUUUGGGACAUUUGGGGACAUUUGGGGCCAUUUUGGGGCCAUUUGGGGACACCUGGGGACAUUUUGGGACAUUUUGGGGACAUUUGGGGACAUUUUGGGGACAUUUGGGGACACCUGGGGACAUUUGGGGACAUCUGGGGACAGCCGGGGCCAUUUGGGGACACUUGGGGCCAUUUUGGGACAUUUGGAGUCAUUUGGAGUCAUUUGGGGACAUUUGGGGACAUUUUGGGGAUAUUUGGGGACAUUUUGGGGACACCUGGGGACAUUUGGGGACAUUUUGAGACAUUUUGGGAUAUUUUGGGGACAUUUGGGGACAUUUUGGGGCCAUUUGAAGCCAUUUGGGGACACUUGGGGACAUUUGGGGCCAUUUUGGGGCCACUUGGGGCCAUUUUGGGGCCAUUUUGGGGCCAUUUGGGGCCAUUUGGGGCCAUUUGGGGCCAUUUGGGGACAUUUGGGGACAUUUUGGGGCCAUUUGGGGCCAUUUGGGGACAUUCAGGGGCCAUUUGGGGCCAUUUGGGGACAUUUUGGGGCCAUUUGGGGCCAUUUUGGGGCCAUUUGGGGACAUUUUGGGACAUUUUGGGGCCAUUUGGGGCCAUUUUGGGGACAUUUGGGGCCAUUUUGGGGCCAUUUUGGGGCCAUUUGGGGACAUUUCGGGCCCAUCGCUGCCUCUCUGCAAACCCUUUAUUGAACACAACCUCAUGCCACGCCCCCUUCCCCCUCGCAGCCAAUCAGAGCCUCCGGAGCCCUGCAGGGGGCGGGGCCUCCAUUCUACCCCUCCUGCUGGGUGGGCGUGGCCCCGGCGGUGGGCGUGGCCUGCAGGGCAGCAGUGGCAUUCCUCCAGCGCUGCAGCCAAUGGGAGAAGGGGGCAUGGCCGGGGGGCGUGGCCAAGGCCCACUGAGCCGGCUGGGCCCACCUGGGGGGAGAGGCUGGGUUUAAAAGGGGGGCGUGGCUUGCGCGGAAGCCCCGCCCCCUUUAGUCCCUCCCCUCACUCACCAUUGGCUGAGGAGCCCCUGGAGGCGGGGCCAGCUCCUGAUUCGCUGCUGGCAGCCGGCGCUGACCAAUCGCAGCCGGGGGAGGAGCUCGGCCGGGCCCUCGGGAGGGGGCGGGGCCUGCUCUGGCUCCGCCCCCCGCUGUGGCCACGCCCUCCUGCGCAGGCGCAGCCGCUCCAGGCGCAGCCGCUGCCGCAAGAUGGCCGCCCGCGA
This 1376-nucleotide long non-coding RNA is filed under the name Cyanistes caeruleus (blue tit). RNAcentral describes it as "lncRNA (ENSCCEG00000009551.1)". Lineage: Eukaryota; Metazoa; Chordata; Aves; Passeriformes; Paridae. The record is from RNAcentral.